This 497-nucleotide ribosomal RNA is filed under the name uncultured bacterium. Its description in RNAcentral is "partial 16S ribosomal RNA". It matches the Rfam family "Bacterial small subunit ribosomal RNA", at positions 28 to 507 of the family's 1533-position model. The record is from RNAcentral.
GAUGAACGCUGGCGGCGUGCCUAAUACAUGCAAGUCGAGCGAACAGACGAGGAGCUUGCUCCUCUGACGUUAGCGGCGGACGGGUGAGUAACACGUGGAUAACCUACCUAUAAGACUGGGAUAACUUCGGGAAACCGGAGCUAAUACCGGAUAAUAUAUUGAACCGCAUGGUUCAAUAGUGAAAGACGGUUUUGCUGUCACUUAUAGAUGGAUCCGCGCCGCAUUAGCUAGUUGGUAAGGUAACGGCUUACCAAGGCAACGAUGCGUAGCCGACCUGAGAGGGUGAUCGGCCACACUGGAACUGAGACACGGUCCAGACUCAUACGGGAGGCAGCAGUAGGGAAUCUUCCGCAAUGGGCGAAAGCUUGACGGAGCAACGACGCGUGAGUGAUGAAGGUCUUCGGAUCGUAAAACUCUGUUAUUAGGGAAGAACAAAUGUGUAAGUAACUAUGCACGUCUUGACGGUACCUAAUCAGAAAGCCACGGCUAACUACGUG